This 301-nucleotide ribosomal RNA is filed under the name uncultured bacterium. Its description in RNAcentral is "partial 16S ribosomal RNA". It matches the Rfam family "Bacterial small subunit ribosomal RNA", at positions 509 to 807 of the family's 1533-position model. The record is from RNAcentral.
CAGCCGCCGCGGGAAUACGAAGGGGGCUAGCGUUGUUCGGAUUUACUGGGCGUAAAGCGCACGUAGGCGGAUCGAUCAGUCAGGGGUGAAAUCCCAGAGCUCAACUCUGGAACUGCCUUUGAUACUGUCGAUCUGGAGUAUGGAAGAGGUGAGUGGAACCCCGAGUGUAGAGGUGAAAUUCGUAGAUAUUCGGAGGAACACCAGUGGCGAAGGCGGCUCACUGGUCCAUUACUGACGCUGAGGUGCGAAAGCGUGGGGAGCAAACAGGAUUAGAUACCCCAGUAGUCCCUGUCUCUUAUAC